RNAcentral lists this non-coding RNA (29 nucleotides) under Bombyx mori (domestic silkworm). Lineage: Eukaryota; Metazoa; Arthropoda; Insecta; Lepidoptera; Bombycidae. The record is from RNAcentral.
UACCUCAGCGAUCGUCUGCGGCCUCCGUC